UGACAUCUUGAAUUUCCUAGAAACUGAGUGACAUCCGAUGCAUGACCAACAUUCAUCGGAAGCAAUACAAACCUGCAUAUUAUGUACACUCUCCUAAGUUGAAUCCUGAAUUUAGUAAGACAAAAUGGGACAAUUCAAGAUAUAGCAACCUUCAAAUCCAUUACCCUUCAGUACUUGUACCUCCAAAUCCCUCGGUCACUAAUAGAACCAUGCUGUCGAAUGCUUGUGCAGUAAAGUUCACAGCAUGUCUGACAUCUAAAGCUUUACCUAGUUCAACAAAAUUCAUCACUGGAGCACCAGCUAGACGGGCCCUGCUACUUCCCGAUUUGUUGCAUGACACUCAUGGAAAUCCCACUGGAUCGGGGAACAUAAAN
Molecule: long non-coding RNA, 374 nt
Filed under: Triticum aestivum (bread wheat)
Lineage: Eukaryota; Viridiplantae; Streptophyta; Magnoliopsida; Poales; Poaceae
Description: long non-coding RNA (TAES_LNC003631)
Source: RNAcentral